UACGUAGGGCGCAAGCGUUGUCCGGAAUUAUUGGGCGUAAAGAGCUCGUAGGCGGCUUGUCGCGUCGGAUGUGAAAGCCCGGGGCUUAACCCCGGGUCUGCAUUCGAUACGGGCAGGCUAGAGUGUGGUAGGGGAGAUCGGAAUUCCUGGUGUAGCGGUGGAAUGCGCAGAUAUCAGGAGGAACACCGGUGGCGAAGGCGGGAUCCUGGGCCAGUACUGACGCUGAGGAGCGAAAGCGUGGGGAGCAAACAGG
This 253-nucleotide ribosomal RNA is filed under the name uncultured prokaryote. Its description in RNAcentral is "partial 16S ribosomal RNA". It matches the Rfam family "Bacterial small subunit ribosomal RNA", at positions 524 to 776 of the family's 1533-position model. The record is from RNAcentral.